ACUCUCUUAGCAAAUCUUGUAAAGAUUUUUCUAUCUGUCUUCGGGAAUUGUUCAUUCUCUACAACAAGUGAUGGUUCCAUUUUCACAUCAGGUGAUGACUGUACUUCCGCUUCAGCUGAUGGCUCCAUUUUCACAUUAGGUGAUUGUUGUACUUUUACUUCAGUUGAUGGCUCCAUUUGCACAUCAGGUGGUUGCACUUCCACUUUAUGUAAUGACUCAAUUUUUGUGUCAGUUGAUGGGACAACUUUCAUAGUAUUUGAUUGCUCAAUUUCCAUAGCAUUUGACUGGUCAUAUACUAGAUAGACAGCCGUCUCCGUAACAGUAAAUCCAUGCCCAAUAGCUACAAAAAUCUCCAAGUUAUCACCAACUCCUAAAUUUGAU
RNAcentral lists this long non-coding RNA (381 nucleotides) under Trifolium pratense (red clover). Its description in RNAcentral is "long non-coding RNA (TPRA_LNC000238)". The record is from RNAcentral. Lineage: Eukaryota; Viridiplantae; Streptophyta; Magnoliopsida; Fabales; Fabaceae.